RNAcentral lists this ribosomal RNA (505 nucleotides) under uncultured beta proteobacterium. Its description in RNAcentral is "bacterial SSU rRNA". It matches the Rfam family "Bacterial small subunit ribosomal RNA", at positions 58 to 552 of the family's 1533-position model. The record is from RNAcentral. Lineage: Bacteria; Pseudomonadati; Pseudomonadota; Betaproteobacteria.
CAAGUCGAACGGCAGCAUGAUCUAGCUUGCUAGAUUGAUGGCGAGUGGCGAACGGGUGAGUAAUACAUCGGAACGUGCCCUGUAGUGGGGGAUAACUAGUCGAAAGAUUAGCUAAUACCGCAUACGACCUGAGGGUGAAAGUGGGGGACCGCAAGGCCUCAUGCUAUAGGAGCGGCCGAUGUCUGAUUAGCUAGUUGGUGAGGUAAAGGCUCACCAAGGCGACGAUCAGUAGCUGGUCUGAGAGGACGAUCAGCCACACUGGGACUGAGACACGGCCCAGACUCCUACGGGAGGCAGCAGUGGGGAAUUUUGGACAAUGGGGGCAACCCUGAUCCAGCAAUGCCGCGUGUGUGAAGAAGGCCUUCGGGUUGUAAAGCACUUUUGUCCGGAAAGAAAUCGCACUUACUAAUAUUAGGUGUGGAUGACGGUACCGGAAGAAUAAGGACCGGCUAACUACGUGCCAGCAGCCGCGGUAAUACGUAGGGUCCAAGCGUUAAUCGGAAUU